CCCUUAGAUGUUCUGGGCUGCACGCGUGCUACACUGAUUACUUCAACAAGUGUUUUAACUGGAGAGUUUGCGUAAUCCUGAAAUGUUAUCGUGAUGGGAGUAGAGUAUUGUAUUUGUUAAUCUUUAACGAGGAAUUCCUAGUAAGUGUAGGUUUAUAAGUUGUUCUGAUUACGUCCCUGCCCUUUGUACACACCGCCCGUCGCUACUACCGAUUGAACGGUUUAGUGAGGGCCUCGGAUUGGUCUCGGCCCGCUCUUUACCGGGCGGCGCCGUUGGUCGAGAAGACGCUCGAACUUGAUCGUUUAGAGGAAGUAAAAGUCGUAACA
This 326-nucleotide ribosomal RNA is filed under the name uncultured eukaryote. Its description in RNAcentral is "partial 18S ribosomal RNA". It matches the Rfam family "Eukaryotic small subunit ribosomal RNA", at positions 1470 to 1796 of the family's 1831-position model. The record is from RNAcentral.